This 527-nucleotide ribosomal RNA is filed under the name Lepomis macrochirus (bluegill). RNAcentral's name for it is "partial 12S ribosomal RNA". It matches the Rfam family "Bacterial small subunit ribosomal RNA", at positions 557 to 1367 of the family's 1533-position model. Lineage: Eukaryota; Metazoa; Chordata; Actinopteri; Centrarchiformes; Centrarchidae. The record is from RNAcentral.
GGCGUAAAGAGUGGUUAAGGGAGAUCAAAACUAAAGCCGAAUGCUUUCAAAGCUGUUAUACGCUUCCGAAAGUAAGAAGAUCAAUCACGAAAGUGGCUUUACUUCCCCUGACCCCACGAAAGCUAUGACACAAACUGGGAUUAGAUACCCCACUAUGCCUAGCCUUAAACAUCGGCAACACUUUACACCCGCUGCCCGCCAGGAAACUACGAGCGUUAGCUUAAAACCCAAAGGACUUGGCGGUGCUUUAGACCCACCUAGAGGAGCCUGUUCUAGAACCGAUAACCCCCGUUCAACCUCACCCUUCCUUGUUUUUUCCCGCCUAUAUACCACCGUCGUCAGCUUACCCUGUGAAGGCCUUAUAGUAAGCAAAAUUGGCACAGCCCAGAACGUCAGGUCGAGGUGUAGCAAAUGGAGGGGGAAGAAAUGGGCUACAUUCUUUAAUAGAAAGAAUACGAAUGAUUGACUGAAACGUCUUUCCGAAGGAGGAUUUAGCAGUAAGCAGGAAAUAGAGUGUUCUGCUGAAA